UUCAUGGUCGAGUGGUAAAGACACGUUCCUCUCACCCUGGAGAUCUGGGUUCAAUCCCCCGUUGAGAAG
Molecule: non-coding RNA, 69 nt
Organism: Rhamnusium bicolor
Lineage: Eukaryota; Metazoa; Arthropoda; Insecta; Coleoptera; Cerambycidae
Source: the annotation of a GenBank genome assembly